RNAcentral lists this ribosomal RNA (253 nucleotides) under uncultured bacterium. Its description in RNAcentral is "partial 16S ribosomal RNA". It matches the Rfam family "Bacterial small subunit ribosomal RNA", at positions 524 to 776 of the family's 1533-position model. The record is from RNAcentral.
GACAGAGGGUGCAAACGUUGUUCGGAAUUACUGGGCGUAAAGCGCGUGUAGGCGGCUUGGCAAGUCGGGUGUGAAAGCCCUGGGCUCAACCUAGGAAGUGCACUCGAAACUGCUUCGCUUGAGUGCCGGAGAGGAAAGCGGAAUUCUCGGUGUAGAGGUGAAAUUCGUAGAUAUCGAGAGGAACAUCGGUGGCGAAGGCGGCUUUCUGGACGGUAACUGACGCUGAGACGCGAAAGCGUGGGGAGCAAACAGG